RNAcentral lists this long non-coding RNA (914 nucleotides) under Citrus sinensis (sweet orange). RNAcentral's name for it is "long non-coding RNA (CSIN_LNC002933)". Lineage: Eukaryota; Viridiplantae; Streptophyta; Magnoliopsida; Sapindales; Rutaceae. The record is from RNAcentral.
AUUUAAAUAGAAAGAGGAAGAGACAUGUAAUCUUUUGUAAUCUAUUAAUUAUUUUAUAUUUUUAAUAUUUUAUAAUGUAAUUAUUUUUUAAUCUCAACCAAUAUAUUAAAUAAUAGAGAAUAUAAAAAGAUGAGAAACAAUAAUGCCACAAAUCUUAACUACUUAAUAUUUAUAGAGUUUGAAGAAGUCAAAAGGUACUAAACAAAAGAUUGCAUAAUUAAAUAUGAGAUUAUGGCAUUAAAAUUAGACCCUAAUGGCAUUAUUGAGGAAAGAUGAAUGAACAUUCCUUCCUAUAUUAAUUAACUAAAAUUUAAUUGUUGGCAUAAUAAAAUAAAUAAAUGUUUCAAGAUUUAUAAUUAAUUAUUAUUAAUGGUUACAUAUUAUUUUAAUAUUUUGUAAUGUAAUUAUUUUUUAAUCUCAACCAAUAUAUUAGAUAAUAGAGAAUAAAAAAAGAUGAGAAAUAAUAAUGCCACAAAUUUUAAAUAUUAAAUGUUUAUGGAGUUUGAAGAAACCAAAAGGCACUAAACAAAAGAUUGAAUAAUUAAAUAUGAGAUUAUGACAUUAAAAUUAGGCUCUAAUGGCAUUGUUGAGGGAAGAUGAAGGAACCUUCCUUCCUAUAUUAAUUAAUUAAUGUAUUUUAAGCCACUAAAAUUUAAUUGUUGGCAUAAUAAAAUAAAAUAAUGUUUCAACACUUAUAAUUAAUUAUUAUUAAUGGUUACAUAUUGUUGAAUUUAAAUAGAAAGAGGAAAAGACAUGUAAUCAUUUAUAAUAUAAUAAUUAUUUUCUAUUUUAAUAUUUUGUAAUGUAAUUAUUUUUUAAUUUCAACCAAUUUAUUAGAUAAUAGAGAAUAUGAAAUGAUGAGAAAUGGUGAUGCCACAUCACCUCUUGUAGUCCCAACUUUAUAUAUAUAGAUA